GGGCGUUUAGCUCAGGGGGAGAGCGCUUCCUUGACGCGGAAGAGGCCAUAGGUUCAAAUCCUAUAACGCCCA
RNAcentral lists this transfer RNA (72 nucleotides) under Gaiellales bacterium. Its description in RNAcentral is "tRNA-Val". It matches the Rfam family "tRNA". Rfam says of the family: Transfer RNA (tRNA) molecules are approximately 80 nucleotides in length. Their secondary structure includes four short double-helical elements and three loops (D, anti-codon, and T loops). Further hydrogen bonds mediate the characteristic L-shaped molecular structure. tRNAs have two regions of fundamental functional importance: the anti-codon, which is responsible for specific mRNA codon recognition, and the 3' end, to which the tRNAs corresponding amino acid is attached (by aminoacyl-tRNA synthetases). tRNAs cope with the degeneracy of the genetic code in two manners: having more than one tRNA (with a specific anti-codon) for a particular amino acid; and 'wobble' base-pairing, i.e. permitting non-standard base-pairing at the 3rd anti-codon position. Lineage: Bacteria; Bacillati; Actinomycetota; Thermoleophilia; Gaiellales. The record is from RNAcentral.